RNAcentral lists this ribosomal RNA (329 nucleotides) under uncultured eukaryote. RNAcentral's name for it is "partial 18S ribosomal RNA". It matches the Rfam family "Eukaryotic small subunit ribosomal RNA", at positions 1470 to 1796 of the family's 1831-position model. The record is from RNAcentral.
CCCUUAGAUGUCCUGGGCUGCACGCGCGCUACACUGACGAACUCAACGAGCUUAUCACCUUGGCAGAGAUGUCUGGGUAAUCUUUUGAAAGUUCGUCGUGCUGGGGAUAGAUGAUUGUAAUUAUUCGUCUUGAACGAGGAAUUCCUAGUAAGUGUGAGUCAUCAGCUCGCGCUGAUUACGUCCCUGCCCUUUGUACACACCGCCCGUCACUCCUACCGAUUGAAUGGUCCGGUGAGGUUCUCGGAUUUUUUCUGUUGUUUGGUUCGCUAAACGAUUGAAGAGAGAAGUUACCCAAACCUUACCAUUUAGAGGAAGGAGAAGUCGUAACA